Populus euphratica (Euphrates poplar) is the source of this 3225-nucleotide RNA transcript. It is a transcript of the gene named histone-lysine N-methyltransferase, H3 lysine-9 specific SUVH1-like, with no coding region annotated. The record is from RefSeq and is a predicted model, not a curated record. The transcript has 3 exons. Lineage: Eukaryota; Viridiplantae; Streptophyta; Magnoliopsida; Malpighiales; Salicaceae.
GUAAUCAGAAUCAAUAGCAAACUGGUUCAUAAAUGGAGUGUGUGGGCUGCAGAUUUUGCUGUCACGCCCUGUACUGUAAGGUUAAAGACUAGACAGGGCUACAAGGUUUAGUGGUUGAAAAGCCAUUAUGAGUUCCUCUCACCAAGCCAGUACAAUCAGAUAGUACGAAAAGCUAAUUUAUUGGAUUUUGAAUUUCAGACCAAAGAGACAAGAACUAAUAAUGGAAGAAAAAUCAAGAUUAAAGGUCCACACUCUAGGGUUCUUUUGGGUUCUGUUUGUGGUCCUUGUAAGAAAUUCAACUGAUGUUCAUUCAAAACAGCAAUACCGAAGAACUCAGAAGUAAUAAUAAUGGAAGAAUCAGCAGGCGAAGGCCCAAAGGAUAAGUCCAGGGUUUUGAAUGUAAAGCCCUUGCGGACUCUUACUCCAGUAUUCUCUUCACCAUCAAAAUCCAGUUCUUUUUCUCAAAGUUCUGUCCCUUUUGUUUGUGUUCCCCCAGCUGGUCCUUUCCCACCUGGAGUUUUCCCGUUCUUUCCAUUUUCUGGUAUACCUAAUCAAUCUUCCGGUGACCACACCGCAAUAUCAUCAGCAGUUCCUAUCAAUUCGUUUCGGUCACCUGAGCCCCUUGGAUGUGCUGCAAAUGGAAAUGCCGGGUCAUCAGGGAGGGCUAAUAGAAACAAUAGGGGUGUGGAAGAAGAUGGGUAUAGCGAUGACCAAACGCCGAGUUCGCAGGGUAGAUAUCAGAAGAAGAAAAAAGGCAGCCAUGAUAAAUUUGCUUCUCCUGAUGUUGACACAGACGUGAUGGUAGAAAAUAUUUUCCAGUCCUAUAACCUUGUGCAAUUUGAAGCAGCACGACUAUAUGAUGGCGAUAAAGAUUCUGUAGGAUAUGUACUCCUGGUUUUCAAUUUGCUCCGAAGACAAAUAGCACAGCUUGAAGAUACAAAGGAAGCCACAUCAGGGCAAUCAAGGCGCCCUGACUUGAAAACAGGUAAUGUUUUGAUGACCAAAGGAAUUCGGACGAAUGCCAAGAAGAGAGUUGGAGCUGUACCUGGUGUUGAAAUUGGUGAUAUUUUCUUUUUUAGAAUGGAAUUGUGCACAAUUGGACUCCAUGCUCCAAGUAUGGCUGGAAUAGAUUACAUGUCUUUCAGGAUCAGUCAAGAUGAAGAACCAAUAGCUGUUAGCAUUGUUUCAUCUGGAGGAUAUGAAGAUGAUGUUGACGGUGAUGAUGGUUUGAUUUACACAGGCCAAGGUAAGGAAAUGGAUCAAAAGCUUGAAAGGGGUAACCUUGCGCUGGAGAAGAGCUUGCACCGUGGUAAUGACAUUAGAGUAAUCAGGGGUAUAAAGGAUGUGGGAAAUCCAACUGGAAAGGUAUAUAUGUAUGAUGGUUUAUAUAGAAUCCAAGAGUCAUGGUUAGAGAAAGGAAAGUCUGGUUCCAAUGUUUUUAGGUAUAAGUUGGGUAGGUUACCUGGCCAGCCUGAGGCAUACAAAACAUGGAAAAAAAUUCAGCAAUGGAAGGAUGGUACUAUUACUAGGUUUGGGAUUAUACUGCCUGAUCUUACUUCAGGGUGUGAAACUUUUCCUGUUUCUCUUGUGAAUGAUGUUGACAAUGAAAAGGGGCCUGCCUAUUUCACUUAUUCUCCACACCUCAAGUAUUCAAAACCUGCACCAAGGGAUCCUUUUGUUGGCUGUGCUUGCAAUGGUGCAUGUCUCCCUGGAAACGAGAAAUGUGAUUGUAUUCAGAAAAAUGGAGGCUAUCUUCCUCACAUUGUGAAUGGGGUUAUUGUGAACCAAAAAUCUGUGAUAUAUGAGUGUGGUCCAUCCUGUCAGUGCCUUCCAACUUGCCGUAAUCGUGUGUCUCAGGGUGGUUUGAGAGUUCGUUUGGAGGUGUUUAAGACUAAGAACAAAGGUUGGGGUUUAAGAUCCUGGGAUCCUAUACGAGCUGGAGCUUUUAUAUGUGUAUAUGCAGGAGAAGUUGUUGAUGAUCCUGCACAAGAGCUUGCAGGUGAAAAUAAAGAUGAUCACAUCUUUGAUGGUUCCCGCACUUACCAGCCAGUUGAAAUUUUGCCUGGUGAUUCCAAUAAUGCUCCAAACCUCCCAUUUCCUCUUAUAAUAAAUGCCAGAAAUGCUGGGAAUGUAGCUCGUUUUAUAAAUCACAGUUGCUCUCCAAAUCUGUUCUGGCAGCCAGUUUUACGUGGAAAUUGCAAGGAGUUUGAUCUCCAUAUCGCGUUUUAUGCCAUCAGACACAUUCCUCCUAUGACAGAGUUGACAUAUUGUUAUGGGAUGGUACUUCCUGAAAAAGCAGAUUGUGGGAAGAGAAAAUGCUUAUGUGGAUCACCAAAGUGCAGAGGUUUUUUCUAUUGAUAGUCCAUUUACUGGAGUAUUUGGAUAAGGAUGGCCUUGCUAACUCAUGUUUCUGGAAGAAGAUGUCUGAAGCAGGUCUCCACAAGGCCAUCCAGGGAGGAUUCUUUUAAUGAUCCUCUCGUUGCAUGUAUUUGUUUGCAAGAAGGGAGAGCACUAGCUUCAUCUUGUGAUGGGUGAUAAACAUCAUAAGCAAAUCAUGCAGAUUUACUGUCAUUCAUAGUAAAAGAUAUCUUAAGAUUUUGGUUUUCCUAGAUUUUUACCAGACCUCUUAUUUAUAGAUUCAUGAUUGGAGAAGAUUGGAUACCGGAUCACACAACUCCGGUUUGAUAGUAGAUGCAAUUAAAACAUUUCAUAAUUCAUCUGGAUUGUAUUGCCGCCCCUAUGCUUGAACGUGUUCUUUUUUAUGUACAUAUGCAUUUUGGUUGGCCGUAUUUACCUUUCAAAACUGAAUUCUCAGCAUUUUCGUAUUCACUUUUCCACCAUCAGCUAUUUUGCAGUCCAUGGCAAGAAAAAGCUUCAGGAUGUCUCAGCAAAGGCCUGUCUCUUCACCAGCUGUUGUUGUUGUAUGGUUUCUGCUCUGUGCAUGAAUGAAGACCAAAUAUAUCUUCCAUGACUGGAGCAGACAGGCCCGUGAAAGGUUUUCUUUUGUUGUACUAAACUUGUGUUGCUGUAACAUGAAACAAUAGGAUGCAGACUUGUAACUUACUUUAGCUGUUAUCCCUCUGCGUAAUGUUCCUAGAUUAAAGUAGUCCUCGCCUGUUUUAUCCAGUGUGCUCCUUGUAUUCAAUAAUAGAGUGGGGUGCCAAGAAGGUAUCCUAGUUGCACUCAAUUUUUCUGUUAACAUCAUUUGAUAUGCUCUUGGUUGCA